UUGCCCUACGGGAGGCAGCAGUGAGGAAUAUUGGUCAAUGGUCGGGAGACUGAACCAGCCAAGCCGCGUGAGGGAGGAAGGUACAGAGUAUCGUAAACCUCUUUUGUCAGGGAACAAAGACUGGGACGCGUCCCCGGAUGAGUGUACCUGAAGAAAAAGCAUCGGCUAACUCCGUGCCAGCAGCCGCGGUAAUACAUAGGGGGCAAGCGUUAUCCGGAAUUAUUGGGUGUAAAGGGUGCGUAGACGGAAGGACAAGUUGGUUGUGAAAUCCCUCGGCUCAACUGAGGAACUGCAACCAAAACUAU
Molecule: ribosomal RNA, 305 nt
Filed under: uncultured bacterium
Lineage: Bacteria
Description: bacterial SSU rRNA
Rfam family: Bacterial small subunit ribosomal RNA
Source: RNAcentral